RNAcentral lists this ribosomal RNA (2536 nucleotides) under Escherichia coli. RNAcentral's name for it is "partial 23S ribosomal RNA". It matches the Rfam family "Bacterial large subunit ribosomal RNA", at positions 237 to 2797 of the family's 2925-position model. Lineage: Bacteria; Pseudomonadati; Pseudomonadota; Gammaproteobacteria; Enterobacterales; Enterobacteriaceae. The record is from RNAcentral.
CCCCCAGUAGCGGCGAGCGAACGGGGAGGAGCCCAGAGCCUGAAUCAGUGUGUGUGUUAGUGGAAGCGUCUGGAAAGGCGCGCGAUACAGGGUGACAGCCCCGUACACAAAAAUGCACAUAUUGUGAGCUCGAUGAGUAGGGCGGGACACGUGGUAUCCUGUCUGAAUAUGGGGGGACCAUCCUCCAAGGCUAAAUACUCCUGACUGACCGAUAGUGAACCAGUACCGUGAGGGAAAGGCGAAAAGAACCCCGGCGAGGGGAGUGAAAAAGAACCUGAAACCGUGUACGUACAAGCAGUGGGAGCCUCUUUAUGGGGUGACUGCGUACCUUUUGUAUAAUGGGUCAGCGACUUAUAUUCUGUAGCAAGGUUAACCGAAUAGGGGAGCCGAAGGGAAACCGAGUCUUAACUGGGCGUUAAGUUGCAGGGUAUAGACCCGAAACCCGGUGAUCUAGCCAUGGGCAGGUUGAAGGUUGGGUAACACUAACUGGAGGACCGAACCGACUAAUGUUGAAAAAUUAGCGGAUGACUUGUGGCUGGGGGUGAAAGGCCAAUCAAACCGGGAGAUAGCUGGUUCUCCCCGAAAGCUAUUUAGGUAGCGCCUCGUGAAUUCAUCUCCGGGGGUAGAGCACUGUUUCGGCAAGGGGGUCAUCCCGACUUACCAACCCGAUGCAAACUGCGAAUACCGGAGAAUGUUAUCACGGGAGACACACGGCGGGUGCUAACGUCCGUCGUGAAGAGGGAAACAACCCAGACCGCCAGCUAAGGUCCCAAAGUCAUGGUUAAGUGGGAAACGAUGUGGGAAGGCCCAGACAGCCAGGAUGUUGGCUUAGAAGCAGCCAUCAUUUAAAGAAAGCGUAAUAGCUCACUGGUCGAGUCGGCCUGCGCGGAAGAUGUAACGGGGCUAAACCAUGCACCGAAGCUGCGGCAGCGACACUAUGUGUUGUUGGGUAGGGGAGCGUUCUGUAAGCCUGUGAAGGUGGCCUGUGAGGGUUGCUGGAGGUAUCAGAAGUGCGAAUGCUGACAUAAGUAACGAUAAAGCGGGUGAAAAGCCCGCUCGCCGGAAGACCAAGGGUUCCUGUCCAACGUUAAUCGGGGCAGGGUGAGUCGACCCCUAAGGCGAGGCCGAAAGGCGUAGUCGAUGGGAAACAGGUUAAUAUUCCUGUACUUGGUGUUACUGCGAAGGGGGGACGGAGAAGGCUAUGUUGGCCGGGCGACGGUUGUCCCGGUUUAAGCGUGUAGGCUGGUUUUCCAGGCAAAUCCGGAAAACCAAGGCUGAGGCGUGAUGACGAGGCACUACGGUGCUGAAGCGACAAAUGCCCUGCUUCCAGGAAAAGCCUCUAAGCAUCAGGUAACAUCAAAUCGUACCCCAAACCGACACAGGUGGUCAGGUAGAGAAUACCAAGGCGCUUGAGAGAACUCGGGUGAAGGAACUAGGCAAAAUGGUGCCGUAACUUCGGGAGAAGGCACGCUGAUAUGUAGGUGAAGCGACUUGCUCGUGGAGCUGAAAUCAGUCGAAGAUACCAGCUGGCUGCAACUGUUUAUUAAAAACACAGCACUGUGCAAACACGAAAGUGGACGUAUACGGUGUGACGCCUGCCCGGUGCCGGAAGGUUAAUUGAUGGGGUUAGCGGUAACGCGAAGCUCUUGAUCGAAGCCCCGGUAAACGGCGGCCGUAACUAUAACGGUCCUAAGGUAGCGAAAUUCCUUGUCGGGUAAGUUCCGACCUGCACGAAUGGCGUAAUGAUGGCCAGGCUGUCUCCACCCGAGACUCAGUGAAAUUGAACUCGCUGUGAAGAUGCAGUGUACCCGCGGCAAGACGGAAAGACCCCGUGAACCUUUACUAUAGCUUGACACUGAACAUUGAGCCUUGAUGUGUAGGAUAGGUGGGAGGCUUUGAAGUGUGGACGCCAGUCUGCAUGGAGCCGACCUUGAAAUACCACCCUUUAAUGUUUGAUGUUCUAACGUUGGCCCGUAAUCCGGGUUGCGGACAGUGUCUGGUGGGUAGUUUGACUGGGGCGGUCUCCUCCUAAAGAGUAACGGAGGAGCACGAAGGUUGGCUAAUCCUGGUCGGACAUCAGGAGGUUAGUGCAAUGGCAUAAGCCAGCUUGACUGCGAGCGUGACGGCGCGAGCAGGUGCGAAAGCAGGUCAUAGUGAUCCGGUGGUUCUGAAUGGAAGGGCCAUCGCUCAACGGAUAAAAGGUACUCCGGGGAUAACAGGCUGAUACCGCCCAAGAGUUCAUAUCGACGGCGGUGUUUGGCACCUCGAUGUCGGCUCAUCACAUCCUGGGGCUGAAGUAGGUCCCAAGGGUAUGGCUGUUCGCCAUUUAAAGUGGUACGCGAGCUGGGUUUAGAACGUCGUGAGACAGUUCGGUCCCUAUCUGCCGUGGGCGCUGGAGAACUGAGGGGGGCUGCUCCUAGUACGAGAGGACCGGAGUGGACGCAUCACUGGUGUUCGGGUUGUCAUGCCAAUGGCACUGCCCGGUAGCUAAAUGCGGAAGAGAUAAGUGCUGAAAGCAUCUAAGCACGAAACUUGC